GGUAACAUUUCUAGCUUGCUAGAAGAUGACGAGUGGCGGACGGGUGAGUAAUGCUUGGGAACUUGCCUUUGCGAGGGGGAUAACAGUUGGAAACGACUGCUAAUACCGCAUAAUGUCUUCGGACCAAACGGGGCUUCGGCUCCGGCGCAAAGAGAGGCCCAAGUGAGAUUAGCUAGUUGGUAAGGUAACGGCUUACCAAGGCGACGAUCUCUAGCUGUUCUGAGAGGAAGAUCAGCCACACUGGGACUGAGACACGGCCCAGACUCCUACGGGAGGCAGCAGUGGGGAAUAUUGCACAAUGGGGGAAACCCUGAUGCAGCCAUGCCGCGUGUGUGAAGAAGGCCUUCGGGUUGUAAAGCACUUUCAGUUGUGAGGAAAAGUUAGUAGUUAAUACCUGCUAGCCGUGACGUUAACAACAGAAGAAGCACCGGCUAACUCCGUGCCAGCAGCCGCGGUAAUACGGAGGGUGCGAGCGUUAAUCGGAAUUACUGGGCGUAAAGCGCACGCAGGCGGUUUGUUAAGCUAGAUGUGAAAGCCCCGGGCUCAACCUGGGAUGGUCAUUUAGAACUGGCAGACUAGAGUCCUGGAGAGGGGAGUGGAAUUCCAGGUGUAGCGGUGAAAUGCGUAGAUAUCUGGAGGAACAUCAGUGGCGAAGGCGACUCCCUGGCCAAAGACUGACGCUCAUGUGCGAAAGUGUGGGUAGCGAACAGGAUUAGAUACCCCUGGUAGUCCACACCGUAAACGCUGUCUACUAGCUGUGUGUGCCUUUAAGGCGUGCGUAGCGAAGCUAACGCGCUAAGUAGAUCGCCUGGGGAGUACGG
Molecule: ribosomal RNA, 821 nt
Filed under: uncultured Alteromonas sp.
Lineage: Bacteria; Pseudomonadati; Pseudomonadota; Gammaproteobacteria; Alteromonadales; Alteromonadaceae
Description: bacterial SSU rRNA
Rfam family: Bacterial small subunit ribosomal RNA
Source: RNAcentral